Sus scrofa (pig) is the source of this 863-nucleotide non-coding RNA. The record is from RefSeq and is a predicted model, not a curated record. NCBI's taxonomy places the organism in Eukaryota, Metazoa, Chordata, Mammalia, Artiodactyla, Suidae.
GCCCCCACAGCCUCCGCGGUCUGCAAGGGGGAGGAGGAGCUACAGCGGACCCGCCAAACCCACUUGAGAUGCCAGCUCUCCCCGCGUCCCUUGUUACCUGGGCAACCCAGCCAGGAUAGUUGGGGGAGCUGAGCUGUCGGCUAGAGGUGGGGCGGCGGAGAGGCCAGGUGAGCGCGGGAUCCGGCUGAAGGGCUCCACUGCGCCCGCGGAAAAAGAUUCCCCCGGGGAGCGUCUCCCAGUCCUUGGCCAGAUGGUCUCGACACCUGCAAGCACUUUCUGUGCUGGCUUUAAUCCAGGCAGACCCUGAGUAGCCAACAUCCCUCCUUCCGCUAAGCUGGGGAGCAGAGUCUCCGCAAGUUCCUCUGCGUUGUUAUCUAUGGGCCAGUCCAGCCAGCCAGCAGGCAUUCGUGCUCCAAACAGAAGACUCCCCAAGGAACUCCGACAGCCGAUCUGCACUCCAGUAAGACUUUCUCCGCACUUUCCCCCCAAACCAAAAAUUUCUGACAAUAUUCGGAAUCUUUCUCAAGUACAAAGCCUGUUUCUUCUAUUAUAUCUUCGAGAUGAAAAACCUGCACAGAAAAAGGCAUAUAAACGCUGCCACUACUACCACUUUCAAUGGCUUCAUGUUAUGGGUGGAGAAAACUGAGUAUCAGCCUAUAUCGCAAGUUAACAGCAGAUGAGAAACACCAAAGAACCAGGUAGAGAAGAGGGCUGCAACGGAGGUGACAUAGUGGCUUGUAUUUGAGGAGACUGGAAUUUUGGCCUAUUUUUAGGUUGUUGCUCUUCAAAUUCCUGACUGAAUCCUUCAGGAAGUGCAUCUUAAAAGAAAUUGAAAUGAAUAAAUAUGUACCUCACACACAAAA